Molecule: transfer-messenger RNA, 350 nt
Filed under: bacterium
Lineage: Bacteria
Also listed under: 1 other name
Description: JAMCWA01 sp023475165 Standard tmRNA
Rfam family: transfer-messenger RNA
About the family: Bacterial tmRNA, also known as 10Sa RNA or SsrA, is named for its dual tRNA and mRNA-like properties. Its role is to liberate the mRNA from a stalled ribosome. To accomplish this part of the tmRNA is used as a reading frame that ends in a translation stop signal.
Source: RNAcentral
GGGGGCGAAUCAGUUUCGACGGGGGUAGCUGGGGCGCCAGUUGCAGGCCGAGCGUCCACAUCUCGUAAAUCCGUGGAAAAGGCUUAACUGCCAACGAGAAUUACGCACUAGCCGCCUAAUCGCGGCUACGUCCGCCCGGGUCCUUCCUGUGGAGCCGGUAACGGGCGUCACCAAAGCAGGAUACCCUACCGAUAGUGUCUCGGGUCGGCAGGGGAAACCUAGGGACUAACCAACUGCGGACCCUGCCCUUGGGGGCCAAGGAAGGCGAAAAGGCAAAACAGGGGAUAUGCCUGUAGAGAUUGACGUCAUGGUGCUUUCGGACCGGGGUGCAACUCCCCGCGCCUCCACCA